UUCACGGUAGCCUAGUUGGUUAGGGCGUCGGCAGUACUGAUACCGAAGGUCGCAGGUUCAAAUCCUGCCUGCUGUGAAA
Non-coding RNA from Phthorimaea operculella (potato tuberworm), 79 nucleotides. NCBI's taxonomy places the organism in Eukaryota, Metazoa, Arthropoda, Insecta, Lepidoptera, Gelechiidae. The record is from the annotation of a GenBank genome assembly.